This 2266-nucleotide long non-coding RNA is filed under the name Coffea arabica (coffee). RNAcentral's name for it is "long non-coding RNA (CARA_LNC003249)". Lineage: Eukaryota; Viridiplantae; Streptophyta; Magnoliopsida; Gentianales; Rubiaceae. The record is from RNAcentral.
ACUGACCCACAAGGCACAAGGGAACAAAGUUAAACUAAUUUCAAAUCCAUCAAAAUAUCAACAUAGUCGACAACCAUAGACAACAUUUUGUUCUUCAGAACCUUAGUAAAUAAAAAUUCAUGAAUUCAAAUCCAAUGAUUGCACGACAAAUGUAUACACGACUAUUGUCAAAUGCUUACAAGGCUAAAGGGAAGGGGAUGCUCUGCAUUAAUUUACAUUUCCUUAGCUACAAUUAUCUCUUCAUUAGGAUUAGCUUCUAAAGUCCCACAUCCUUCAAUUGAACCUCUUUAAUUGGUAAAAUAUCUACAAAAUGCUAAUGAGUGAGAUUAGUGACAACUUGUUCAGUAAGUAGCUCAUGUACUUCUUUAUUGGUUUGAGCGCGUUAUCACAAAUGUACUUCAGUAAGUAGCACAUGUACUUCUUUAUUGGUUUGGGCACAUUACUUCUUUAUGUGGUCAUAAUAAGCGUUUCAAAUGCAAAGCACGCAUCACAAAGUUUAUAAUCAUAAAUGAUCUCAAGAUAUAAAGUUAAUCAUUGACCCUAGAUAUUCAGUUGUUAACUUGAACUAUUAACAGGGUUUAUAAUGCUAACUAGCAUAUGGUUAGUCUGUUUUAUAUUGCUAACUAUAAGACGGUUAGCCCAUUUUAUAAUAUCAUAAUACCAACUACCAUAUGAGGAACUACUUCCGUCAAAAGUCACUGUAUACAAGAGCUCAAUCACACAAGUCAUUUACUUAUUCACAUUUGACCACAAUCAUGCACUCAUAGUAGAUCAAUAGGUACAAGUUUGGCUACAGGUCAGGGGUUCAAACUUCUGCACCUGUAGUAAACUCCAAAAGGUGUAGUAGUAGUGCAUCCCUUUGAUCUAGAGUUGGGACCCUCUCCCUUUAGCCUCCCUUGGCCCAGUUGGGCCCUGCCCUAAUGUAGGUUAGAGCAGGAGUAAGAGUUGCUGAUUAACAAAAAAAAAGUAGAUCAAUAACAUAUACACACACACACACAUGCCACUUUGAUAUAUAAAUUAGCUUUCAAAGUUAUAAGAGUUUGAUAAAUGUAUUUUCAAAAGAUAAGGAGUACAUGCACUGCUUACCUUCACCAACCGAGCUAGCAUCUAACUCAACUAUGGACCAUCUCAAUAGAAAUCAUUUCUUACCUAAACAUAUUAAAAAUCCUUAGUUCAAACUCUAAAACCUCUUACGUAUUCUAAUUUAUCACAAAAAGGACCCUAGACACCACCCUUAGGUAGUAACGUAUGGCAAAGGUCAUAAACUAGUUUAAAUGAAACGCAUAGAUUAACUUUAAUCCUUCACCGACAUCCAUAGAUACCAAAUCAGGGUCAUAUGCUUAUACAUAUUUAAAGCUCUCUAAAUCUAGUUUCCAGCGCCACUAAAUGGCAUACAAUUCCGAGAUUCCUAUGCAAAGAUAUGGCCAAUUUACUAAAGUGUGACUGUGUUGUGAGCCGAAUCUGGCCCAAGGAUGCAUGAGGGAUCCAGCAACGGAUUCAAGGGAUGGGUUUGAGGUAGAAUCGAGUUCCAGUUUCGGUUUUCAAGUUCUAUUUCCACCUAAAUCAUCUCCAACCCUCCCUAAUUAUCAAAAUCAACAUUUUUGCAUACCACAAUCAUAUUAUUACAUAAAUAACUUGGAAACAAGGUAUUAAACCCGAAUCAUGCAAUUUUCAUCAAAAUGACCCAUUUUCAUUUCAAGACAAAUAUAAUCAACACACACAAGUAGAGACUAAAACCAACUCCAAACUCUACAUCCAAGAACUCUAAACCAAGGAUUUAGAGCUAAACACAACCCAAACAUGAUCAACCACCAUAAAUCUUAACUUUAAACUUCAAAGGACGAUAAAUACUUAACCAAAUCUCAAGAUCCAAGAAAACCAACCGAAAAUCCACCAUAUUCAUAACUCAAUUUAACAACCAAAAACCCAACCCAAAUUAAAUCAUAAAUAAACUGAAAAAACAACUUACUUACCUUAGCUAACAGACAAAAACCGGUACACUAGCUUCUCUCUUGCAUUUGCAUUGAAAUCCCUAAACUCUUACUUUGAGAACUUUAAAAGGAAAUGGAAACCUUUAGAGGAAAAGAAGCUAAAGGAAGAUGAACAAGCCGCCAUUUGGUCAUAGGAAGAAAAGAAAGAAGAAAUAUCUUCUUCCACUGACAAUUCAAAAUUACAUAACAAUCCUCCAAUUUCUUGUCACUCUGAAUUUCAUCCUAAAGUACAUAAUUCAUACCAAUGCCCCUGCAGAAAAUACAUGGGGUAUCAC